Molecule: ribosomal RNA, 253 nt
Filed under: uncultured bacterium
Lineage: Bacteria
Description: partial 16S ribosomal RNA
Rfam family: Bacterial small subunit ribosomal RNA
Source: RNAcentral
GACGGAAGGUGCAAGCGUUGCUCGGAAUCACUGGGCGUAAAGGGUGCGUAGGCGGCCGUGCAAGUCUGGCGUGAAAGCCCCGGGCUCAGCCCGGGAAGUGCGCUCGAAACUGCGCGGCUCGAGUGCCGGAGGGGAGAGUGGAAUUCCUGGUGUAGCGGUGAAAUGCGUAGAUAUCAGGAGGAAUACCGGUGGCGAAAGCGACUCUCUGGGCCGUAACUGACGCUGAGGAGCGAAAGCAUGGGGAGCGAACAGG